GAAGUCAGAUCUGAAAGACCCAUUUUCCUCAGAAUUUCUGCUCCGAGGCCAGUCAAGCACUGUAGAUUCAAGCAUGAGGAUCACCAGUGCGAAGCUUUUCGGAUGUCAACAGCAAAAGUGAUUCUGUAGCUGAGCCCUCCAGGUCAAACACCUGCAUAUGCUCUUGGCCUUCAUGUCUGCAUUUCCCUGGAGGAGGGAAACAAGCCUGCCU
This is a long non-coding RNA of Cervus elaphus (red deer), 211 nucleotides long. RefSeq lists it as uncharacterized. Lineage: Eukaryota; Metazoa; Chordata; Mammalia; Artiodactyla; Cervidae. The transcript is spliced from 3 exons. The record is from RefSeq and is a predicted model, not a curated record.